GCUUGCUUGUUGGGGUUGUAGGACACUCUAUACGGAGUUACAAAGGACGACAUUAGACGAAUCAUCUGGAAAGAUGAAUCAAAGAAGGUAAUAAUCCUGUAGUCGAAAAUGUUGUCUCUCUUGAGUGGAUCCUGAGUACGACGGAGCACGUGAAAUUCCGUCGGAAUCUGGGAGGACCAUCUCCUAAGGCUAAAUACUCUCUAGUGACCGAUAGUGAACCAGUACCGUGAGGGAAAGGUGAAAAGCACCCCGGAAGGGGAGUGAAAUAGAACCUGAAACCGUGUGCUUACAAGUAGUCAGAGCCCGUUAAUGGGUGAUGGCGUGCCUUUUGUAGAAUGAACCGGCGAGUUACGAUUUGAUGCAAGGUUAAGCAGUAAAUGUGGAGCCGUAGCGAAAGCGAGUCUGAAUAGGGCGUUUAGUAUUUGGUCGUAGACCCGAAACCAGGUGAUCUACCCUUGGUCAGGUUGAAGUUCAGGUAACACUGAA
Molecule: ribosomal RNA, 486 nt
Filed under: Staphylococcus aureus
Lineage: Bacteria; Bacillati; Bacillota; Bacilli; Caryophanales; Staphylococcaceae
Description: partial 23S ribosomal RNA
Rfam family: Bacterial large subunit ribosomal RNA
Source: RNAcentral